This is a long non-coding RNA of Cyprinus carpio (common carp), 364 nucleotides long. RefSeq lists it as uncharacterized. Lineage: Eukaryota; Metazoa; Chordata; Actinopteri; Cypriniformes; Cyprinidae. The record is from RefSeq and is a predicted model, not a curated record. The transcript has 2 exons.
UUUAAUAUUUAAAAAAAAAAAAAAAAUUCAGGAAAGUUCAAAAGAACAGCAUUUAUCUGAAAUAGAAACCUUGAGUAACAUUAUAUGACUUUUUGAUCAACUUACCACAACCUUGUUUAAUACAUUUGUUUACAAAAAUCCUAUUGCCCCCAACCUUCUGAAUAGAGUGUGUGUGUGUAUACAAACAUAUUAUUAUUAACCAGACGUUAUUAUGGCCAUAGUUUUGGGGAUUUUGUACUUUUUGUUAUACAAGAAUUUAUUAUAUCAUAAUUAUUUACCUCUCACUCAUUAUGUAUAACAUCUACCUUUCCUUGAAAUUUCAGUGGACUAUUUCAUCCAAACUCAGACUUCUAAGAAAAAUAAA